UACGUAGGGUCCAAGCGUUGUUCGGAUUUACUGGGCGUAAAGGGCGCGUAGGCGGCGUGUCAAGUCAAUUGUGAAAUCUCCGGGCUUAACUCGGAACGGUCAAUUGAUACUGAUGUGCUAGAGUGCAGAAGGGGCAAUCGGAAUUCUUGGUGUAGCGGUGAAAUGCGUAGAUAUCAAGAGGAACACCUGAGGUGAAGACGGGUUGCUGGGCUGACACUGACGCUGAGGCGCGAAAGCUAGGGUAGCAAACGGG
RNAcentral lists this ribosomal RNA (253 nucleotides) under uncultured bacterium. RNAcentral's name for it is "partial 16S ribosomal RNA". It matches the Rfam family "Bacterial small subunit ribosomal RNA", at positions 524 to 776 of the family's 1533-position model. The record is from RNAcentral.